RNAcentral lists this transfer RNA (67 nucleotides) under Lepetodrilus schrolli. Its description in RNAcentral is "tRNA-Asp". Lineage: Eukaryota; Metazoa; Mollusca; Gastropoda; Lepetellida; Lepetodrilidae. The record is from RNAcentral.
GAAGAUCUAGUUAAUAAAUAACACAGGCUUGUCAGGCCUGAAUAACUAUUUGAAGUAGUGGUUUUCU